GUGUCAGCCGCCGCGGUAAUACGUAGGUGGCAAGCGUUAUCCGGAAUUAUUGGGCGUAAAGCGCGCGCAGGUGGUUUCUUAAGUCUGAUGUGAAAGCCCACGGCUCAACCGUGGAGGGUCAUUGGAAACUGGGAGACUUGAGUGCAGAAGAGGAAAGUGGAAUUCCUUGUGUAGCGGUGAAAUGCGUAAUGAUAUGGCAGAAAACCAGUGGCGAAGGCGACUUUCUGGGCUG
This 232-nucleotide ribosomal RNA is filed under the name uncultured bacterium. RNAcentral's name for it is "partial 16S rRNA". It matches the Rfam family "Bacterial small subunit ribosomal RNA", at positions 505 to 736 of the family's 1533-position model. The record is from RNAcentral.